AGUGGGGAAUAUUGGACAAUGGGCGCAAGCCUGAUCCAGCCAUGCCGCGUGAGUGAUGAAGGCCUUAGGGUUGUAAAGCUCUUUCACCGAUGAAGAUAAUGACGGUAGUCGGAGAAGAAGCCCCGGCUAACUUCGUGCCAGCAGCCGCGGUAAUACGAAGGGGGCUAGCGUUGUUCGGAAUUACUGGGCGUAAAGCGCACGUAGGCGGAUAUUUAAGUCAGGGGUGAAAUCCCAGAGCUCAACUCUGGAACUGCCUUUGAUACUGGGUAUCUUGAGUAUGGAAGAGGUAAGUGGAAUUCCGAGUGUAGAGGUGAAAUUCGUAGAUAUUCGGAGGAACACCAGUGGCGAAGGCGGCUUACUGGUCCAUUACUGACGCUGAGGUGCGAAAGCGUGGGGAGCAAA
This 402-nucleotide ribosomal RNA is filed under the name uncultured Rhizobium sp. RNAcentral describes it as "bacterial SSU rRNA". It matches the Rfam family "Bacterial small subunit ribosomal RNA", at positions 353 to 772 of the family's 1533-position model. Lineage: Bacteria; Pseudomonadati; Pseudomonadota; Alphaproteobacteria; Hyphomicrobiales; Rhizobiaceae. The record is from RNAcentral.